This 481-nucleotide ribosomal RNA is filed under the name uncultured bacterium. RNAcentral describes it as "partial 16S ribosomal RNA". It matches the Rfam family "Bacterial small subunit ribosomal RNA", at positions 28 to 523 of the family's 1533-position model. The record is from RNAcentral.
GACGAACGCUGGCGGCGUGCUUAACACAUGCAAGUCGAACGGAAAGGCCCUGCUUGCAGGGUACUCGAGUGGCGAACGGGUGAGUAACACGUGGGUGAUCUGCCCUGCACUUCGGGAUAAGCCUGGGAAACUGGGUCUAAUACCGGAUAGGAGCCAUUUUUAGUGUGAUGGUUGGAAAGUUUUUUCGGUGUAGGAUGAGCUCGCGGCCUAUCAGCUUGUUGGUGGGGUAAUGGCCUACCAAGGCGGCGACGGGUAGCCGGCCUGAGAGGGUGGACGGCCACAUUGGGACUGAGAUACGGCCCAGACGCCGACGGGAGGAAGCAGUGGGGAAUAUUGCAUAAUGGGCGCAAGCCUGAUGCAGCGACGCCGCGUGGGGGAUGACGGCCUUCGGGUUGUAAACUCCUUUCGCUAGGGACGAGGCUUUUUGUGACGGUACCUAGAUAAGAAGCACCGGCUAACUACGUGCCAGCCGCCGCCGUAA